This 460-nucleotide ribosomal RNA is filed under the name uncultured bacterium. RNAcentral describes it as "partial 16S ribosomal RNA". It matches the Rfam family "Bacterial small subunit ribosomal RNA", at positions 338 to 795 of the family's 1533-position model. The record is from RNAcentral.
CCUACGGGAGGCAGCAGUGAGGAAUAUUGGUCAAUGGACGAGAGUCUGAACCAGCCAAGUAGCGUGAAGGAUGACUGCCCUAUGGGUUGUAAACUUCUUUUAUAUGGGAAUAAAAUGUUCCACGUGUGGGAUUUUGUAUGUACCAUAUGAAUAAGGAUCGGCUAACUCCGUGCCAGCAGCCUCGGUAAUACGGAGGAUCCGAGCGUUAUCCGGAUUUAUUGGGUUUAAAGGGAGCGUAGGUGGAUUGUUAAGUCAGUUGUGAAAGUUUGCGUAUCAACCGUAAAAUUGCAGUUGAAACUGGCAGUCUUGAGUACAGUAGAGGUGGGCGGAAUUCGUGGUGUAGCGGUGAAAUGCUUAGAUAUCACGAAGAACUCCGAGUGCGAAGGCAGUUCACUGGACUGCAACUGACACUGAGGCUCGAAAGUGUGGGUAUCAAACAGGAUUAGAUACCCGUGUAGUC